CCUACGGGAGGCAGCAGUCGAGAAUCAUUCACAAUGGGGGAAACCCUGAUGGUGCGACGCCGCGUGGGGGAAUGAAGGUCUUCGGAUUGUAAACCCCUGUCAUGUGGGAGCAAAUUAAAAAGAUAGUACCACAAGAGGAAGAGACGGCUAACUCUGUGCCAGCAGCCGCGGUAAUACAGAGGUCUCAAGCGUUGUUCGGAAUCACUGGGCGUAACGCGUGCGGAGGCUGUUUCGUAAGUCGUGUGUGAAAGGCGCGGGCUCAACCCGCGGACGGCACAUGAUACUGCGAGACUAGAGUAAUGGAGGGGGAAGCGGAAUUCUCGGUGUAGCAGUGAAAUGCGUAGAUAUCGAGAGGAACACUCGUGGCGAAGGCGGGUUCCUGGACAUUAACUGACGCUGAGGCACGAAGGCCAGGGGAGCGAAAGGGAUUAGAUACCCCAGUAGUC
This 446-nucleotide ribosomal RNA is filed under the name uncultured bacterium. RNAcentral's name for it is "partial 16S ribosomal RNA". It matches the Rfam family "Bacterial small subunit ribosomal RNA", at positions 338 to 795 of the family's 1533-position model. The record is from RNAcentral.